AACGAACGCUGGCGGCAGGCUUAACACAUGCAAGUCGAACGCACCGCAAGGUGAGUGGCGCACGGGUGAGUAACGCGUGGGAAUGUACCCUUUAGUACGGAAUAGCUCCGGGAAACUGGAAUUAAUACCGAAUACGCCCUUCGGGGGAAAGAUUUAUCGCUAAAGGAUCAGCCCGCGUGAGAUUAGGUAGUUGGUGGGGUAAUGGCCUACCAAGCCUACGAUCUCUAGCUGGUCUGAGAGGAUGAUCAGCCACACUGGAACUGAGACACGGUCCAGACUCCUACGGGAGGCAGCAGUGGGGAAUAUUGGACAAUGGGGGAAACCCUGAUCCAGCCAUGCCGCGUGAAUGAUGAAGGCCUUAGGGUUGUAAAGUUCUUUUACCGAUGAAGAUAAUGACGGUAGUCGGAGAAAAAGCCCCGGCUAACUUCGUGCCAGCCGCCGCGGUAA
RNAcentral lists this ribosomal RNA (447 nucleotides) under uncultured bacterium. RNAcentral describes it as "partial 16S ribosomal RNA". It matches the Rfam family "Bacterial small subunit ribosomal RNA", at positions 29 to 523 of the family's 1533-position model. The record is from RNAcentral.